Molecule: ribosomal RNA, 2902 nt
Filed under: Klebsiella pneumoniae
Lineage: Bacteria; Pseudomonadati; Pseudomonadota; Gammaproteobacteria; Enterobacterales; Enterobacteriaceae
Also listed under: 1 other name
Description: 23S ribosomal RNA
Rfam family: Bacterial large subunit ribosomal RNA
Source: RNAcentral
GGUUAAGCGACUAAGCGUACACGGUGGAUGCCCUGGCAGUCAGAGGCGAUGAAGGACGUGCUAAUCUGCGAAAAGCGUCGGUAAGGUGAUAUGAACCGUUACAGCCGGCGAUGUCCGAAUGGGGAAACCCAGUGCAAUUCGUUGCACUAUCGUUAACUGAAUACAUAGGUUAACGAGGCGAACCGGGGGAACUGAAACAUCUAAGUACCCCGAGGAAAAGAAAUCAACCGAGAUUCCCCCAGUAGCGGCGAGCGAACGGGGAGCAGCCCAGAGUCUGAAUCAGCUUGUGUGUUAGUGGAACGGUCUGGAAAGUCCGACGGUACAGGGUGAUAGUCCCGUACACCAAAAUGCACAGGCUGUGAACUCGAAGAGUAGGGCGGGACACGUGGUAUCCUGUCUGAAUAUGGGGGGACCAUCCUCCAAGGCUAAAUACUCCUGACUGACCGAUAGUGAACCAGUACCGUGAGGGAAAGGCGAAAAGAACCCCGGCGAGGGGAGUGAAAAAGAACCUGAAACCGUGUACGUACAAGCAGUGGGAGCACCUUCGGGUGUGACUGCGUACCUUUUGUAUAAUGGGUCAGCGACUUAUAUUCUGUAGCAAGGUUAACCGUAUAGGGGAGCCGCAGGGAAACCGAGUCUUAACUGGGCGUUAAGUUGCAGGGUAUAGACCCGAAACCCGGUGAUCUAGCCAUGGGCAGGUUGAAGGUUGGGUAACACUAACUGGAGGACCGAACCGACUAAUGUUGAAAAAUUAGCGGAUGACUUGUGGCUGGGGGUGAAAGGCCAAUCAAACCGGGAGAUAGCUGGUUCUCCCCGAAAGCUAUUUAGGUAGCGCCUCGUGAAUUCAUCUUCGGGGGUAGAGCACUGUUUCGGCUAGGGGGUCAUCCCGACUUACCAACCCGAUGCAAACUACGAAUACCGAAGAAUGUUAUCACGGGAGACACACGGCGGGUGCUAACGUCCGUCGUGAAGAGGGAAACAACCCAGACCGCCAGCUAAGGUCCCAAAGUCAUGGUUAAGUGGGAAACGAUGUGGGAAGGCACAGACAGCCAGGAUGUUGGCUUAGAAGCAGCCAUCAUUUAAAGAAAGCGUAAUAGCUCACUGGUCGAGUCGGCCUGCGCGGAAGAUGUAACGGGGCUAAACCAUGCACCGAAGCUGCGGCAGCGACACUAUGUGUUGUUGGGUAGGGGAGCGUUCUGUAAGCCUGCGAAGGUGACCUGUGAGGGUUGCUGGAGGUAUCAGAAGUGCGAAUGCUGACAUAAGUAACGAUAAAGCGGGUGAAAAGCCCGCUCGCCGGAAGACCAAGGGUUCCUGUCCAACGUUAAUCGGGGCAGGGUGAGUCGACCCCUAAGGCGAGGCCGAAAGGCGUAGUCGAUGGGAAACAGGUUAAUAUUCCUGUACUUGGUGUUACUGCGAAGGGGGGACGGAGAAGGCUAUGUUAGCCGGGCGACGGUUGUCCCGGUUUAAGCAUGUAGGCUGGUUGUCCAGGCAAAUCCGGAUAAUCAAGGCUGAGGUGUGAUGACGAGGCACUACGGUGCUGAAGUAACAAAUGCCCUGCUUCCAGGAAAAGCCUCUAAGCAUCAGGUAACAUUAAAUCGUACCCCAAACCGACACAGGUGGUCAGGUAGAGAAUACCAAGGCGCUUGAGAGAACUCGGGUGAAGGAACUAGGCAAAAUGGUGCCGUAACUUCGGGAGAAGGCACGCUGGUGUGUAGGUGAAGUCCCUGCGGAUGGAGCUGAGACCAGUCGAAGAUACCAGCUGGCUGCAACUGUUUAUUAAAAACACAGCACUGUGCAAACACGAAAGUGGACGUAUACGGUGUGACGCCUGCCCGGUGCCGGAAGGUUAAUUGAUGGGGUUAUCCGUAAGGAGAAGCUCUUGAUCGAAGCCCCGGUAAACGGCGGCCGUAACUAUAACGGUCCUAAGGUAGCGAAAUUCCUUGUCGGGUAAGUUCCGACCUGCACGAAUGGCGUAAUGAUGGCCAGGCUGUCUCCACCCGAGACUCAGUGAAAUUGAACUCGCUGUGAAGAUGCAGUGUACCCGCGGCAAGACGGAAAGACCCCGUGAACCUUUACUAUAGCUUGACACUGAACAUUGAGCCUUGAUGUGUAGGAUAGGUGGGAGGCUUUGAAGCGUGGACGCCAGUCUGCGUGGAGCCAACCUUGAAAUACCACCCUUUAAUGUUUGAUGUUCUAACGUUGGCCCCUUACCGGGGUUGCGGACAGUGUCUGGUGGGUAGUUUGACUGGGGCGGUCUCCUCCCAAAGCGUAACGGAGGAGCACGAAGGUUAGCUAAUCCUGGUCGGACAUCAGGAGGUUAGUGCAAUGGCAUAAGCUAGCUUGACUGCGAGCGUGACGGCGCGAGCAGGUGCGAAAGCAGGUCAUAGUGAUCCGGUGGUUCUGAAUGGAAGGGCCAUCGCUCAACGGAUAAAAGGUACUCCGGGGAUAACAGGCUGAUACCGCCCAAGAGUUCAUAUCGACGGCGGUGUUUGGCACCUCGAUGUCGGCUCAUCACAUCCUGGGGCUGAAGUAGGUCCCAAGGGUAUGGCUGUUCGCCAUUUAAAGUGGUACGCGAGCUGGGUUUAGAACGUCGUGAGACAGUUCGGUCCCUAUCUGCCGUGGGCGCUGGAGAAUUGAGGGGGGCUGCUCCUAGUACGAGAGGACCGGAGUGGACGCAUCACUGGUGUUCGGGUUGUCAUGCCAAUGGCACUGCCCGGUAGCUAAAUGCGGAAGAGAUAAGUGCUGAAAGCAUCUAAGCACGAAACUUGCCCCGAGAUGAGUUCUCCCUGAGACUUUAAGUCUCCUGAAGGAACGUUAAAGACGAUGACGUUGAUAGGCCGGGUGUGUAAGCGCAGCGAUGCGUUGAGCUAACCGGUACUAAUGAACCGUGAGGCUUAACCUU